GACGAACGCUGGCGGCGUGCUUAACACAUGCAAGUCGAACGGAAAGGCCUGCUUUCCCUUGUGGAUUGCGGGUACUCGAGUGGCGAACGGGUGAGUAACACGUGAGUGAUCUGCCCCCAACUUGGGUAUAAGCCUGGGAAACUGGGUCUAAUUCCCGAUAGGACUGCAGGGUGGUGCCUGUGGUGGAAAACGAUUUUCUAGUGGUUGGGGAUGAGCUCGCGGCCUAUCAGCUUGUUGGUGGGGUAAUGGCCUACCAAGGCGGCGACGGGUAGCCGGCCUGAGAGGGUGGACGGCCACAUUGGGACUGAGAUACGGCGCAGACUCCUACGGGAGGAAGCAGUGGGGAAUAUUGCACAAUGGGCGGAAGCCUGAGGCAGCGACGCCGCGUGGGGGAUGACGGCCUUCGGGUUGUAAACUCCUUUCGACCGCGAGGAAGCCACCUGGUUGGAAGGGUGGUGACGGUAGUGGUAGAAGAAGCACCGGCUAACUACGUG
Molecule: ribosomal RNA, 494 nt
Filed under: uncultured bacterium
Lineage: Bacteria
Description: partial 16S ribosomal RNA
Rfam family: Bacterial small subunit ribosomal RNA
Source: RNAcentral